RNAcentral lists this ribosomal RNA (380 nucleotides) under Coelotes sp. ZZ664. RNAcentral describes it as "partial 16S ribosomal RNA". The record is from RNAcentral. Lineage: Eukaryota; Metazoa; Arthropoda; Arachnida; Araneae; Agelenidae.
CUCAAUGAAAUUUCAAUAGCCGCAACAUAUUUGUGCUAAGGUAGCAUAAUCAUUUGUCUUUUAAUUAAAGACUAGAACAAAAGAUUUAACAUUUUUAUUUCUUUCUUAUUUAUAUUUAUUUAAUUUAUCUUAAAUAUAAAAAGAUAUUUAUUAUACAAAAAGACGACAAGACCCUAUUGAACUUAACUAAAGUUUAACUGGGGUAGUUAAUUAAAUAUAAUUUUAAUAAAAAUUUUACAAAUCACCUAAUACAAUUAAAAUAAUCAAGUUACCAUAGGGAUAACAGCGUAAUAAUUUUCUAUAGUUCUUAUUUAAAAAAUAAUUUGCGACCUCGAUGUUGAAUUAAUAUUCUAUUAAAUGCAAUAAUUAAUAAGAAAGUC